RNAcentral lists this ribosomal RNA (637 nucleotides) under uncultured bacterium. Its description in RNAcentral is "bacterial SSU rRNA". It matches the Rfam family "Bacterial small subunit ribosomal RNA", at positions 607 to 1244 of the family's 1533-position model. The record is from RNAcentral.
GCUCAACCGGGGAGGGUCAUUGGAAACUGGGGAACUUGAGUGCAGAAGAGGAGAGUGGAAUUCCACGUGUAGCGGUGAAAUGCGUAGAGAUGUGGAGGAACACCAGUGGCGAAGGCGACUCUCUGGUCUGUAACUGACGCUGAGGCGCGAAAGCGUGGGGAGCGAACAGGAUUAGAUACCCUGGUAGUCCACGCCGUAAACGAUGAGUGCUAAGUGUUAGAGGGUUUCCGCCCUUUAGUGCUGCAGCAAACGCAUUAAGCACUCCGCCUGGGGAGUACGGUCGCAAGACUGAAACUCAAAGGAAUUGACGGGGGCCCGCACAAGCGGUGGAGCAUGUGGUUUAAUUCGAAGCAACACGAAGAACCUUACCAGGUCUUGACAUCCUCUGACAACCCUAGAGAUAGGGCUUCCCCUUCGGGGGCAGAGUGACAGGUGGUGCAUGGUUGUCGUCAGCUCGUGUCGUGAGAUGUUGGGUUAAGUCCCGCAACGAGCGCAACCCUUGAUCUUAGUUGCCAGCAUUCAGUUGGGCACUCUAAGGUGACUGCCGGUGACAAACCGGAGGAAGGUGGGGAUGACGUCAAAUCAUCAUGCCCCUUAUGACCUGGGCUACACACGUGCUACAAUGGGCAGAACAAAG